This 1234-nucleotide ribosomal RNA is filed under the name human gut metagenome. Its description in RNAcentral is "bacterial LSU rRNA". It matches the Rfam family "Bacterial large subunit ribosomal RNA", at positions 1231 to 2475 of the family's 2925-position model. The record is from RNAcentral.
GAGGAGCAUUGUGUAAUAGAUAGAAGCAGUAUCGAAAGGCGCUGUGGACGAAACACAAGAGAGAAUGCUGGCAUAAGUAGCGAGAAGGAGUGUGAGAAUCACUCCCGUCGAAAACCUAAGGGUUCCUGAGCAAGGCUCGUCCCCUCAGGGUAAGUCGGGACCUAAGGCGAGGCCGAAAGGCGUAGCCGAUGGACAAGUAGUAAAAAUUCUACUACUAUCAAUUAUCGUAUAAAUGAAGCGGGGACACAGAAGGAUAAGCUAAGCGUACCAGAUGGACGAGUACGCUCAAAUAAAAAGGCAUGCCAGGACUAAUAACCAGGCUAAGCCAAUUUAUGAUGAGGAUCGAAAAUAAGUAGAGAAGUAGCCGAUUUCACACUGUCAAGAAAAGCCGCUAAAUAGAUAAAAGAUACCCGUACCGUAAACCGACACAGGUAGGAAAGGAGAGAAUCCUAAGACGCGCGGAAGAACCUUUGUUAAGGAACUCGGCAAAAUGACCCCGUAAGUUAGCGAGAAGGGGAGCCAGAGCGAUCUGGCCGCAGUGAAUAGGCCCAAGCGACUGUUUACCAAAAACACAAGUUUCUGCUAAGUCGAAAGACGACGUAUAGGAGCUGACACCUGCCCGGUGCUGGAAGGUUAAGGGGAAAUGUUAGCAUUUAGCGAAGCAUAGAACUUAAGCCCCAGUAAACGGCGGCCGUAACUAUAACGGUCCUAAGGUAGCGAAAUUCCUUGUCGGGUAAGUUCCGACCCGCACGAAAGGUGUAACGAUUUGGGCACUGUCUCAACAAAGGAUCCGGUGAAAUUGAAGUAAUGGUAAAGAUGCCAUUUACCCGCGACAGGACGGAAAGACCCCAUGGAGCUUUACUGUAGGCUGACAUUGGAUUUCGGUAGUACAUGUACAGAAUAGGUGGGAGACAUAGAUCCUGGUACGCAAGUAUCAGAGGAGUCACAAUGUGGGAUACCACUCCUGUAGUGCUGGAAUUCUAACCUUGAGCCGUAAUCCGGUUUAGGGACACUGUCAGUUGGGCAGUUUGACUGGGGCGGUCGCCUCCCAAAAAGUAACGGAGGCGCUCAAAGGUUCUCUCAGUACGGUCGGAAAUCGUACGUAGAGUGUAAAGGCACAAGAGAGCUUGAUUGCAAGACAUACAGGUCGAGCAAGGACGAAAGUCGGACUUAGUGAUCCGGUGGUACCGCAUGGAAGGGCCAUCGCUCAACGGAUAAAAGCUACCCUGGGGAU